This is a long non-coding RNA of Aethina tumida (small hive beetle), 617 nucleotides long. RefSeq lists it as uncharacterized. Lineage: Eukaryota; Metazoa; Arthropoda; Insecta; Coleoptera; Nitidulidae. The transcript has 5 exons. The record is from RefSeq and is a predicted model, not a curated record.
UUCAUGUAAAAAAGGUGCCCAACAAACGAUACACAAAACCAAUGUUGCAUUUAUUUGGAGUAAAUUGUCGCAAUCCCACUACAACCGCAACAAAUGUAACAAAAAUCCUAAGUACUGAACUGAAAAUGUAAUAAUUACGUGUCAUUGUAUAAUUGAUGAGCAUCUCUCCAUUAUCCAGAUGGCAAUAACUGACAAGCCUUAGAAGCAAUCGAUGCAAUUGUGUUUUUCCAUAUUCAAAUGGUCAGGAGUCAAAAUAUUACAUCAGUGUAACUUCAUUGUAUGUGACAUAACAUAAGGCUUAGAAGAUGCUUUUACCAUAGAUUAUCGAAGUAGCAAUAACUGACAAAAUAUGCAGCUUACACUUAGGAUUCCAUCAUGUAACCUCUCCUGUUGUGUUUAUUCAUAUUCAAAUGAGGCCAACAUCAAAAUAUUAGAUAUCAGCAGCAAGCAAAUUGAGGUCAACAUUGAAUAUUUGUCACAAGCAACACCUACAAAACUCUGCAAACAAAGUUUAGCAGAAUUUAUUAUAACUCAAAUGUGAAACAGUGAUCAGAACAAGACCAAAUUAUAUGUAAAAAUUAAUUUUGUAAUAUAUGUUUAUAUAUGUUUUAAUAAUU